RNAcentral lists this ribosomal RNA (253 nucleotides) under uncultured bacterium. RNAcentral's name for it is "partial 16S ribosomal RNA". It matches the Rfam family "Bacterial small subunit ribosomal RNA", at positions 524 to 776 of the family's 1533-position model. The record is from RNAcentral.
UACGUAGGGUCCGAGCGUUGUCCGGAAUUAUUGGGCGUAAAGAGCUCGUAGGCGGUCUGUCGCGUCUGCUGUGAAAUCCCGAGGCUCAACCUCGGGCUUGCAGUGGGUACGGGCAGGCUAGAGUGCGGUAGGGGAGAAUGGAACUCCUGGUGUAGCGGUGGAAUGCGCAGAUAUCAGGAGGAACACCGAUGGCGAAGGCAGAUCUCUGGGCCGUAACUGACGCUGAGGAGCGAAAGCGUGGGGAGCGAACAGG